Long non-coding RNA from Equus caballus (horse), 3003 nucleotides. RefSeq lists it as uncharacterized. The record is from RefSeq and is a predicted model, not a curated record. NCBI's taxonomy places the organism in Eukaryota, Metazoa, Chordata, Mammalia, Perissodactyla, Equidae.
UGUGAACUAUUCUCUCUCACUCUGGGCCACGCGGCUCACCCUCCAACUCAAAACAGCUGCAGGGAAAGCACACUUUACCCUCAACAACCAGCAAGUCUCUGACUCAAAGUGAUACUCCCUUUAAAGAGGAUUUCCUGGUAAUCCAACCUAAAACCUCACCCCCCACCGCUUCCCAGUGUCAAGUUUCUAUUCAAAGCAGAAAUCAGAGGAGCCAAACCCCAGGAUCAGGAUAAACCCAGAGCCUUCGGAGACACGACCUGCACUGUUACUCACAAUUAUCUGCAAUUGCUUUCUUAUAUACAGUAUUCUCCUAUUUUUUUAAAUCAAUUCUUUCCAAACUAGGCAGAUGCCUAAAUGUAUCAAAGAAAGUUUACGGCAUUCCCAACUGAGUAUUAAAACACCACCUUGUCUAGAUAAACACACAAACACCCCAGCAGAAGCAGACAAGCUGCGCACUAGAAGCAGGCUGGGCCAGGGCCGGGUACGAGCACAGAGGGCACAAGACCCGCAAGAGAAAAGCGGGGCGGCGCUGACGCGGCCUGUUGCAGCAGCGUCCCUGGAAAGGACAAGCAGGACAGUCACGGGGACACACGGGCCCUGAAGGGGAUCUGCUCACUGUGUUUAAGCUCAAUCAAAGGCUGGCGAGGGGGCAAGAGGCCUUCUGUUCUGUUCCAGCAGGAGGUGACGUGGGCAGCGGGAAAGGCUCUGGUCUGUAGACCGACGCGCCUCAGGCUCACUCCUCAGUGCUGUGACCCUGGGCGAGGGUCACUGUCACCUGCAGGGCUGACUGGAGGAUCUCCCGAUGACUGCUAACUCUAGAGCCCUAUGAUUACACUUACACGUAAGAUGAUGAAGCCUGUAUUCCUACUCCGUACGUACCAGUGACGGUGAUUCUGUGUCAUGCACUUAUCAACCGACUUUUUACAAAUCAUAUUAUUUCAGAAGCUAUCAUGUAAGGCUGCCAUUUAAAGUAAUCAUCCUAACUACUUAUAUAAAAUUCAGAAUCGUAUAAGCAGUGGUCCCCACAGCGUGGGCCAGGAGCUCCAGCACUCCUGGGCACCUGAGCGCCUCACCCGACUGACCCACUUAGAAUCACCCGGGGGCGUCAGGCCCUCCUGGAGACAGCAGGGCCACACUGAGAGGCUCUGCUCUCCUUGGCCGGAGGGGGUGACCCAGACACUAGGACUUUUCUUAGGCGCUCCCCAGGUAAUUCUAGUCAUCAGCCGGGAUAAAAACCACUUCUGUCAAGGGACUAAUCUAUAAACCUACACACUUGGAUCAACAAAAGUUCUGCUUAGGCUCCAAAACUCUCAGGUUACUAAAACAAGCCCCAAUAUAUGGUUCCCCUUCUUUAAGGAGUUCAGAUAUUCUUACACAUAUUUAUAUGUAUCUCUUCAGAUUUUUCCCCCCAGGUUUUGUGGGGUUUUUUUUUUUUUUUUUUUUAGGAAGAUUGGCCCUGAGCUAACAUCUCAUCAGAUGUUUUUAAUUAAAACAUUUUUACAGAGGUACAGCCCUAUCAAGUAAGAAGAAUAUUCAUUUAAUCAACAGAAAGAUAAAGACUAAAGCAUCUGCUCCACCUUGCUAUUCAAAAAGGUCGUGUAAAUCCUCAAGAACUCAUAGUUCGUAAGAUAGGGACCAGAAAAACCUAUCAAACUCUACUUCUUAUGUUUAUUCCUCAUGUAACGUUUGAUCUUCACAGGGGCUGGCGCCUGCAGAUGAAGUGUAUUCAGAGGGAGGAGUAAGCAUUGCUGUGAACCACAGUGCAAGGCUCAUCUGGUGUCAUCCCCACGGAGCUGCCAGCUCCCGGGGACAGAGACGCUCAGCCAGCCCUUUGUGCUCCUGCUGCCUGGAGCACAGCUCAUGCUUAACUCCUGUUACUACAAAAGAAGGAACAUGCAGAGGCAGUAGAGAAUAAAAACGUUAAGUGGAAGUACAACACAGACACAUAGAAUCUCUCUCAUGUGUUUCUCUAAACCAGGAGUCUGGUGACUUCUUCUGUAAAGGGGCCUUUUUAGCCUUUGUGGGCCACAUGCAACUACCCAGCUCUGCAGUAACAGUACAAAAGCAGCCACAGACACUAAGUGAACAAACGGGUGUGCCGGUGUUUCAAUAAAGCUUUACUUCAUACAUGAACAGGCAGCUGGCCGGCCGGCCCGAGGGCUGCAGUUGACUCGCCCUGAUCUGAGCUAUUCUCUAAACCGCCGGGACAGUAAUUCACCCUUACGUCAUCACAGCUGGUACACGAGGAGGGAGCAUUAUCUCCCUUUUGGAAUUCACUAUUUCCAUGUUCCACAUCAGUGACUUCCUGAGAAGACACCCAGUGCGGACUUCUCGCCAAUGUGUCAUUCACCCAUGGAACCACGCUCUGGAUCAACACAACCCACACUCACAGUGUGGACCAGGGAAGCAUCACGGCAGCCACACAAUGCUGCUCACACAGCUGGCUGCUUUCUCCACCGCUGCUCCUCAAAGGGGAAAAGAAGAGGAGAAAGACCAAGGAAGCAGAAGGCUCAGAACACAGGCCGCCAUCAGAGGUUCACUUCCCAGCCGGCAAAGUGACAGCAACUGAGAACAGACGGUACAGACCCCCAGCCCACCUGCUCUUCCAGGCCUUUACCAUCAACACCACACGCCGAGGCUCCAUGUCGGGAAAACCUGCUGACUGCCUCGUCUAAAGAGCAGUCAGACAUGUGAGCUCUAACAAGGGCAUCUAAUUUGUGGGGAGAAAUCAUAAAAAUAUUUUUCACCUACCUAAUUCACAGAAGGAAAGUGUUAAGAAAGCACCUGGAAUUCAUCAAAGUUACAAAAAUUAUAAGUAGUUGAGUCAGAAGCUAAAUGAGAAAACUAACUUAAGUACUCGACUAUGUUGAUAUUUUUCAUGAACUAACAAAAAAGCUUUUUUUCCUUUUACAAAAUUUACCACAGUGACAGUAAUACUCAUUCGAUAACUAUUCAUGUACAAGAACUUGACGUCCAAAUAAUAUAGUCCUAAUUUUUUUCCCA